RNAcentral lists this ribosomal RNA (497 nucleotides) under uncultured bacterium. RNAcentral's name for it is "partial 16S ribosomal RNA". It matches the Rfam family "Bacterial small subunit ribosomal RNA", at positions 28 to 507 of the family's 1533-position model. The record is from RNAcentral.
GAUGAACGCUGGCGGCGUGCCUAAUACAUGCAAGUCGAGCGAACGGACGAGAAGCUUGCUUCUCUGAUGUUAGCGGCGGACGGGUGAGUAACACGUGGAUAACCUACCUAUAAGACUGGGAUAACUUCGGGAAACCGGAGCUAAUACCGGAUGAUAUUUUGAACCGCAUGGUUCAAAAGUGAAAGACGGUCUUGCUGUCACUUAUAGAUGGAUCCGCGCUGCAUUAGCUAGUUGGUAAGGUAACGGCUUACCAAGGCAACGAUGCAUAGCCGACCUGAGAGGGUGAUCGGCCACACUGGAACUGAGACACGGUCCAGACUCCUACGGGAGGCAGCAGUAGGGAAUCUUCCGCAAUGGGCGAAAGCCUGACGGAGCAACGCCGCGUGAGGGAUGAAGGUCUUCGGAUCGUAAAACUCUGUUAUUAGGGAAGAACAUAUGUGUAAGUAACUGUGCACAUCUUGACGGUACCUAAUCAGAAAGCCACGGCUAACUACGUG